Molecule: ribosomal RNA, 503 nt
Filed under: Schmidingerella taraikaensis
Lineage: Eukaryota; Ciliophora; Spirotrichea; Tintinnida; Rhabdonellidae
Description: partial Eukaryotic large subunit ribosomal RNA
Rfam family: Eukaryotic large subunit ribosomal RNA
Source: RNAcentral
GGAGUCUAAGAUAUGCGCGAGUAUUUGGGUGUUGAAAACCCGAAUGCAUAAUGAAAGUAAAACAGGUGGGAACUCUUUAAUUGGGGGGCACCAUCGGCCGAUCAUGAACUACGGUGAAAGAUUUGAGUUGUAGCGUAUAUCUUGGGACCCGAAAGAUGGUGAUCUAUGCUUGUGUAGGAUAAAGUCAGGGGAAACCCUGAUGGAAGUCCGCAAACGGUUCUGACGUGCAAAUCGAUCGUGAAACAUGGGUAUAGGGGCGAAAGACUCAUCGAACCAUCGAGUAGCUGGUUCCCUCCGAAAUUUCCCUUAGGAUAGCUAUAACUUGUAUAGUUUCAUCAGGUAAAGCUAAUGAUUAGAGGCAUUGGGGGCGAAAUGCCCUCGACCUAUUCUCAAACUUUAAAUGGGUGAGAGCAUGCGGUUGUUUAAGUAAACUGCGUGAUUGAAUAAAAGUUGUUAGUGGGCCAUGUCUGGUAAGCAGAUCUGGCGAUGCGGGAUGAUCCGAA